CGAACCGUGGCGGGAGAGUCCUCCCAGCAAUGUGGCGGCGCCGUAGGAGCAAAUCCUCCCCAGGAAUCUCUCAGGCCCCCGUACCGCCAUGGUGAG
Molecule: regulatory RNA element, 96 nt
Organism: Arthrobacter sp.
Lineage: Bacteria; Bacillati; Actinomycetota; Actinomycetes; Micrococcales; Micrococcaceae
Rfam family: Glycine riboswitch aptamer
About the family: This family represents the bacterial glycine riboswitch. Glycine riboswitches usually consist of two metabolite-binding aptamers domains with similar structures in tandem. The aptamers cooperatively bind glycine to regulate the expression of downstream genes.
Source: Rfam